Molecule: long non-coding RNA, 653 nt
Organism: Hirundo rustica (Barn swallow)
Lineage: Eukaryota; Metazoa; Chordata; Aves; Passeriformes; Hirundinidae
Exons: 3
Source: RefSeq, a predicted model, not a curated record
GGUGGUGAUACUGCAUGGACACCAGCUUGCAGCCAACCAUCACUAUGCACUCAACCUGAUCUUCCAGCAGUGCAACGAGCUGCGGCACCACUCCGACCUCCUGUCAGAUGAGAUCAAAAGGAAGUAGAUGCGCCUGCAGAAGACCUUGGUGCUUCAUACCCGCCUUCAGCAGGCUCUGCAGUGCUGUGAUGAAGGUACCUACCUGCUUGCCAACCAGCAGAUGGAUAAGUGCCAGUGUAAGGAAGGCACUCAGAAAACACUCCAGGACACAGAAAGAUUUCUUCAGCCUGCUUAAACUAUGAUCCCCAAACCCUACAGUACAAUUUUGAGUCAGUCUUAACAUCUGAGUUGAAGUGCCAGAUCCAGUUUGUGCAGGCCAAGCUAGAAAAUGUUUGCAGCAUGUUUGAGAACCGGCAGUCGUGCUUCAAGAAGCUGCUGGUAGCUCCUCGGCCAGAAAAUCCACCAAGAUCAAAGUCACCCUUGUUCUCUCCUAAACAUGGUAAAAUGUUGUGGAAUUAUGGUAUUUUCAGCUGAUAAUUCUGCUUUGAGGCAGAAAGAGAAAGGCUUAAGAUGGUUUAAAGAAGCUAACGAAACCUUGCUGGCAGAUACAGAGUUAUUGGAUAGCAUUAAAUAUAUAGCAGGUGAUUUAUUAA